This 385-nucleotide ribosomal RNA is filed under the name uncultured bacterium. RNAcentral's name for it is "bacterial SSU rRNA". It matches the Rfam family "Bacterial small subunit ribosomal RNA", at positions 30 to 410 of the family's 1533-position model. The record is from RNAcentral.
AUUGAACGCUGGCGGCAGGCCUAACACAUGCAAGUCGAACGGCAGCGGGGAGUAGCUUGCUACUCCGCCGGCGAGUGGCGGACGGGUGAGUAAUGCAUGGGGAGCUGCCCAAUCGAGGGGGAUAACAGCUGGAAACGGCUGCUAAUACCGCAUACGCCCUCCGGGGGAAAGGUGGGGAUUUCGAACCUAUCGCGAUUGGAUGCACCCAUGUGGGAUUAGCUAGUUGGUGAGGUAACGGCUCACCAAGGCGACGAUCUCUAGCUGGUCUAAGAGGAUGACCAGCCACACUGGAACUGAGACACGGUCCAGACUCCUACGGGAGGCAGCAGUGGGGAAUAUUGCACAAUGGGGGAAACCCUGAUGCAGCCAUGCCGCGUGUGUGAAG